RNAcentral lists this ribosomal RNA (406 nucleotides) under uncultured bacterium. Its description in RNAcentral is "partial 16S ribosomal RNA". It matches the Rfam family "Bacterial small subunit ribosomal RNA", at positions 30 to 526 of the family's 1533-position model. The record is from RNAcentral.
AUUGAACGCUGGCGGCAGGCCUAACACAUGCAAGUCGAACGAGGGGCGGACGGGUGAGUAAUGUCUGGGAAACUGCCCGAUGGAGGGGGAUAACUACUGGAAACGGUGGCUAAUACCGCCUACUAUCAGAUGUGCCCAGAUGGGAUUAGCGUGUUGGUGGGGUAACGGCUCACCUAGGCGACGAUCCCUAGCUGGUCUGAGAGGAUGACCAGCCACACUGGGACUUAGACACGGUCCAGACUCCUACGGGAGGCAGCAGUGGGGAAUAUUGCACAAUUGGCGCAAGCCUGAUGCAUCCAUGCCGCGUGUAUGAAGAAGGCCUUCGGGUUGUAAAGUACUUUCAGCGGGGAGGCGUUACCCGCAGAAGAAGCACCGGCUAACUCCGUGCCAGCAGCCGCGGUAAUAC